GUCGCGAUCACCGCCAUGUUGCUCUGUCCUCUACUUGCCUGUACCGGUGACCGGCGAACGCUCCGUGUUGCUCCGUGCUUCCCGGCGCUUCUUUCGUGUUCCUCGUGUCGAAGUUCUGCGCGGAUACAACGUCGGGUGUGUCGAGUGUGGUAGCAGCGUGAGUGUCAGGAUCGUAUAGAUCGUAUCUCGUUCGUUAAGCGUUACGAACUUGUCGCUUGCGUCUCGUGCUCGUCUAACGUUUCUCGACUCAGCUGUUUGCUUUCGGUCUCAAAUCGUAUGUUUAUCAGUGUGCGAGAACACGAACAUAAUAAUCGUCCGGUAACGCGCGUGUUGCGUGUUAACAACGACCGCGUGUUAACUACGACGGUCGAGGGGUUAUGUUACGCCGCGCGCGAUUUCUUGGCGCUCGAGAUUCGUCGUUUAUCGGGACAGUAUCUUUUCCGAUGGCGUCGCGGGUGUGGUAUCGUAAGUGGUGAACAAUAUAUUGUGCGGUCAUCGUUAAUAUGCGAUUCGAGAGCGAUAAAAAGAAACAUCGUCAGCGAAGGACAGCCUCCGUGAAGCAAUUCGGUCGAUGUUGAAAACUCUGCUGCUGCACAUCCUGUGUCGGUUACGAACGACGCCGACCGCGACGCGACGAUGAGAGACUCGCGAGCUUCGGGAGUCGCUUCCGGCUUUCAUCCGUUUUAGCCAUGCUAAUGGAGACAGUACAGACGCGUGGCUUAGCAUGUAGAAUUUCAGUGAUUCUAGGAAGCUGGCUGGAGAGUUAUUUCGAUCUAGCGACGUAUACCACACUGGGUCAGCGUACCAAGAUAAUUUCCUGAACGCACAGGCCGCGUAACUACUACAGAAUCCUGAAUUUAGCAGACAUCCGCUUACCGCACGCGGAAGCUGCUGAAAGAAUAGUGUGACUCCAGGACAUCGCAGGAAACAAUCGUGGAUGCGAGAUGAUGGGGCCAGUUGGCGGCUCUCCUUUGCUCAGGCGCACCCGGCACUCGCAAGAAAUCGAUAUCGCGUCUGCGCUCGGUACAACUCCAAGGGCCGUCUACAGGUUGACAUUAAGAGAGAACCACAGUCACCCUCUUGUGCAAUCUUCACAUUAAAAAUCUUAAGGUAAUUUCCAAAAACAAGAAAGUUAUAUUUUUUAACAUUCAGAGUCUACUUGAAUUUCAUACCAAGACUCAAUGUACAUGAAUGUAGAUGUAUAUGCCAUAUUUAUUUAAUUUUGCACUAUCAAGAAAAAAAGAUAAACAAUUUUGUCAAAAACAAAGAGAUGGAAUUUAAAUUUAAAAGUAAAAUUUCUCAAAAAAUUUUUCGAGUCCAAUAAAAAUAAUUUUCAAGGAUAAAAAAUAAGUUCUCUAAAAAUUCGAGAUUUUUCUAGUGUUUCUCGGUUUCUGAUAUCAACUAUCGAUUAUCAUAAAAAUUUAUUUAUUCCGUCUGCUAUUGACGCGACGCUACCCUCGUAUCAUAAUAGACUAUUGUUUAUCCUUAAGGGAGUUGCACCCUUCUCUCAACAUCGCCAUUGUCGAGAGGUAAGAAUACGAUUGACUUGUGACGUUUCAGCGUCACUUACGAAAAGAUAUAUUAUUAUCUCUGAAUAAUAUUAUGAUAUAAAUUCACAGUUUUUCAUUAACAAUUCUCUAGUGAAUUAAUUAAAUCUAUUUAUCAAUGUUAGACUUUGAAAUUACCGUGAGAACAAAGAAAAUUAAAAUUUAUAAAUGAUAAUAUCUUGUACUAGAAAUAACUUAUAUGAUAAGAGCAGAAAAAAUAUUAUUUAAUCUAAAAAUAGGUGGAAGAAAUUUUAUCCUGCGCUCGCUAUAUUAUUUUCAGCCAAUAUCUACCCUCAUUUCAAACUGUAUUCUGUAAUAAAAAUAUGAAACUUUGAAUUUUCUGUAAAGAUACGUGGCGAGAAGCUGCAGUGAUUGUAAGAAAAAAUAGUUGUAAUUAUCAUCAUAAUUUAACUAUAAUUUAUAGGAAUUUCGUUACCAACUAUAUUUAUAGUUAUAUUUUGCACGA
Solenopsis invicta (red fire ant) is the source of this 2013-nucleotide long non-coding RNA. RefSeq lists it as uncharacterized. NCBI's taxonomy places the organism in Eukaryota, Metazoa, Arthropoda, Insecta, Hymenoptera, Formicidae. The record is from RefSeq and is a predicted model, not a curated record. The transcript has 4 exons.